RNAcentral lists this ribosomal RNA (420 nucleotides) under Fusobacteriota bacterium. RNAcentral's name for it is "Fusobacteria bacterium partial 16S ribosomal RNA". It matches the Rfam family "Bacterial small subunit ribosomal RNA", at positions 355 to 776 of the family's 1533-position model. The record is from RNAcentral. Lineage: Bacteria; Fusobacteriati; Fusobacteriota.
UGGGGGAUAUUGCACAAUGGGCGAAAGCCUGAUGCAGCGACGCCGCGUGGGGGAUGAAGGCCUUCGGGUUGUAAACUUCUUUUGCUCUGAACAAGGCAUGCCUUUGGGGUGUGUUGAGUGUAGGGGUUGAUUAGCGCCGGCUAACUACGUGCCAGCAGCCGCGGUAAUACGUAGGGCGCGAGCGUUGUCCGGAAUUACUGGGCGUAAAGGGCUUGUAGGUGGCUGGUUGCGUCUGUCGUGAAAGCUCAUGGCUUAACUGUGGGUUUGCGGUGGGUACGGGCUGGCUUGAGUGCAGUAGGGGAGGCUGGAAUUCCUGGUGUAGCGGUGGAAUGCGCAGAUAUCAGGAGGAAUACCGGUGGCGAAGGCGGGUCUCUGGGCUGUUACUGACGCUGAGGAGCGAAAGCGUGGGGAGCGAACAGG